Scylla paramamosain (green mud crab) is the source of this 2816-nucleotide RNA transcript. It is a transcript of the gene named sucrase-isomaltase, intestinal-like, with no coding region annotated. Lineage: Eukaryota; Metazoa; Arthropoda; Malacostraca; Decapoda; Portunidae. The transcript is spliced from 5 exons. The record is from RefSeq and is a predicted model, not a curated record.
CCUGCCUCGUGGUGGGGCCGCCAGCCUCUGGUAUUAGUGGCUGUGGUGGCGGCGUCCCUCAGGUGCUCUACUCCUCGGCUUGCAGGACAUGAUUACCCUGAGAGAAGAAGACCAAUAGCUGGGAAUCUGUGAAGUGAACAAGAAGUGACGGCGUAGCACAUGGGUGACUGUGUGACUAAGGGGCCACACACGAGCGCUGACUCCCUCCCCAGCACACCGCCGCUCCCGCCCCUUUGCCUGCGCCGCUCUGAUAAUUGACUCGCGCAUCUGAUUCCAUGCUCUAUUCCAAAAUCAGCACGUUGCCUCUCACACUGCAAUUACCACAGCCAGAGCUUCUAAUGUGUAGCUCUCUCAGCGGCUUCCGGCAUCACGUUACCUUACUCCCUCGAACGCUGGUGCCUAUACAAGUCUAGUCAUUGACAUUACACAGCACCUUAGGACACAAUUGCAGGAUGGAAAUUAAGAGAGUAUAUAUAUAUAUCUUUUUUUUUCAACUGGCCUUAAGAUUGUGUCAGAACAUCAAGUGGAUACGAAAGAUUACUCAAAAAGGUGACAGAUUCUAAGGAGAUCAGGGGACAUAAGAAUGGAAGAAAGCGCAAAACACAAGACAGUAAUUACGAAAGGUUACCAACUCUAACAACUAAAAGAUUCGAAGAUCAGAGUACUCACGAAUGAAAGAAGGAACUAAACUGAAGUGAAUACGAAAAGCAACUCUAACAACUCAAAUAUUCUAAGAUCAUACGACACACGAAUGAAAGAAAACAAGGCAGUGAGUAGAGGAAACUAGUCGCGUCCACCAUUUUCCUUCCCUAGGCACCGGAAGUCACGAUAACAGCUCCCUUGCAUUUAAACAUCGCCACAUUUUCAGGAAUAGAUAAAACCUCACUUCCUCGCCUGUGCCUCCUGCGUGAGUGGUGGUGCGCGGGGCGUCGGGUGGGUGAUCUCAAGGACCCGACACGCUGCACAUAAAGUCACGGUACAUGGAUGCGUGUCUUAGCAUGGCUCGCGUGUCACUCCCAAACCGUGACAUGUGUGUGGCGGCCUUCAGAGGAGAAAAUCUGCUGGAGGAAAUGCGACUGACUACAAGACCGAGGUUCGACCCUGGGCGCCUGAGAAAACCGUGCAUACAUCGCAACCACUUUACCACUGACAUCACCACCACCACCACCACCACCAACACCGUCACGGGGAGCGCUACCAUUAAUUUCAGCACGCCAUUAAGCAGGGUGGAAAGGGGAGGGAAGACCAUGGAAGGGGAGGGUAGUGCAGGAGGGGGGAGGGCAGGGAGUCUUCCUCAGCAUCUGGGUGCCGGCAGUAAUAAAGUGGCCAAUCAGAGCAAGGAUUAGCUCUCCCUCCUUCCUUCCCUCUCCCUCUCCCUCCCUCUCGCCCUCCCUCCCUCACGUAUCUCUCCCUUUCUCUCUCCCCUCUCUUGUUCUCUUCCUCCAGCCAUCCCUCCCUACUUCAAGGAUUAGCUUCUCUCUCUCUCCCUUCCCCCUCUCCCUUCCCCUUCCUUUUCCCCACCUCUCUCUCUCUCCCCCUCCUUCUCUCCUCCUCCUUUCCGUCCAUCGUUGUGAAAGAAAUACUUGGUUGUUAAGGUUUUUGGUUCUUGGUUGUAAAAGGGAGAAUGACCGCUCAGGAGAGAGAGAGAGAGAGAGAGAGAGAGAGAGAGAGAGAGAGAGAGAGAGAGGGGGGGGGGGAAUAGUACUACAAAGACCAAUCUGAAACAAAAACACACACAUACACACACCUUUUUCUUUUCUUCCUUCUUUCCUUCCUUCGUUCAUUCACUUCAUUCUUCUUCCUCCUUACCUUCCUUCAUUCAUUCCUUCAUUCAUUUAUUUUCUUCCAUCUUCCUUCAUUCCUUCCUUCAUUCCCUCCCUCCUUAGGACAUAAAAAGAGAAGAUAUAAUAGACGUUUAACUUUCAAUCGAAUUAAGCCACUCUCCCUCCCUCUCUCCCUCUCUCUUUUUACCUUAUUUUUUCUUUACAUUUACGUCUAAAAUCGGGUUAUAGUCUUGGCCCUUUCUUUCCGCGAAUAUCCAAGUAUCUUUUUUUCUUUCCUCAGGUGGGGGAGAGAGAGAACCAAUUGGGAGAUGGCUUGUAAAAAAUGGGAUUACCGGCUAAUUGGUGCGGGGAGGCGAUGUUGUGUGGGGGAUUACCUGGCCGUGAUGACAGGUGCGAGCAAGGAGGGAUGACCAGGUGUGCUCGAUUAAUUAGUGAAGUCAGGCCAGGUGGCGGGGCUUGUGCUUCAUAACAGCAACUUGAACGUAAGAAAAGGAAGUUGCGUGUUGUUUUGUAGGUGUGUUUCAGGUGUUGAGGAUGUACAGGUGUUGUUCUUGGUGUUCUGUUAUGGGUGUUGUUGUUCUUUCAGUUUUGGUGUUGUGGUGCGAGUGGUGUUUUCUCAAGUUUGGGUUCACUGUAGUAUGAGUGUUGUUGUUCUCCUUUUCUCUUUGGUGUUCUGUAGUGUAAAUGUUCUGUUUUUAAACCCGUGGUGUUCUGCAGUAUGAGUGUUAUUGCUUUCCUCAAGUCUUCGUGUUCUGUGAGUGUUCUUGUUUUCUUUAAGUCUUGGUUUUCGAUGUGUUAUUAUAUAUAUAUAUUUUUUUCGUUGCUAUCUUUUCAUUUAUCCAUUUCACGUACUACCUUCCUUUCGGCUCUAUAAUUUUCCACUUUCUUACUGUUUAUCGAUAUUUUCCCUUGCACUCAACUAAACAUUUCCUCAGUUAUCAGUCUCUUACAGUGUUUCAAAGUAAGCACGUUUGUUUGCAGCAGAAAGCCAUCAGUUAUUGUAUGAAUAUUUACUAUGUUUACUGAUACACA